GUGGCGAACGGGUGAGUAACACGUGGGUAACCUGCCCAUCAGAAGGGGAUAACACUUGGAAACAGGUGCUAAUACCGUAUAACAAUCGAAACCGCAUGGUUUCGUUUUGAAAGGCGCUUUACGGUGCCGCUGAUGGAUGGACCCGCGGUGCAUUAGCUAGUUGGUGAGGUAACGGCUCACCAAGGCCACGAUGCAUAGCCGACCUGAGAGGGUGAUCGGCCACAUUGGGACUGAGACACGGCCCAAACUCCUACGGGAGGCAGCAGUAGGGAAUCUUCGGCAAUGGACGAAAGUCUGACCGAGCAACGCCGCGUGAGUGAAGAAGGUUUUCGGAUCGUAAAACUCUGUUGUUAGAGAAGAACAAGGGUGAGAGUAACUGUUCACCCCUUGACGGUAUCUAACCAGAAAGCCACGGCUAACUACGUGCCAGCAGCCGCGGUAAUACGUAGGUGGCAAGCGUUGUCCGGAUUUAUUGGGCGUAAAGCGAGCGCAGGCGGUUUCUUAAGUCUGAUGUGAAAGCCCCCGGCUCAACCGGGGAGGGUCAUUGGAAACUGGGAGACUUGAGUGCAGAAGAGGAGAGUGGAAUUCCAUGUGUAGCGGUGAAAUGCGUAGAUAUAUGGAGGAACACCAGUGGCGAAGGCGGCUCUCUGGUCUGUAACUGACGCUGAGGCUCGAAAGCGUGGGGAGCAAAC
Molecule: ribosomal RNA, 692 nt
Filed under: Enterococcus sp.
Lineage: Bacteria; Bacillati; Bacillota; Bacilli; Lactobacillales; Enterococcaceae
Description: bacterial SSU rRNA
Rfam family: Bacterial small subunit ribosomal RNA
Source: RNAcentral